This 381-nucleotide ribosomal RNA is filed under the name uncultured eukaryote. RNAcentral describes it as "partial 18S ribosomal RNA". It matches the Rfam family "Eukaryotic small subunit ribosomal RNA", at positions 592 to 976 of the family's 1831-position model. The record is from RNAcentral.
CAAUAGCGUAUAUUAAAGCUGUUGCGGUUAAAAAGCUCGUAGUUGGAUUUCUGUCAAGGACAACUGGCCCGCCCCUCGGGUGAGCACAUAGUUUGGUCUUGGCAUCUUGUUGGAAACUGUUGCUGCACUUGGUUGUGUGGCGCAGUGUCCAGCACUUUCACUUUGAGGAAAUUGGAGUGUUUCAAGCAGGCACAUGCCUUUGGACACAGUAGCAUGGAAUAAUUAGAUUGGGCUUUUGCUCCAACUUGUCGGUUUCUGGAGCUGAGGUGAGAAUUAAUGGGGAUUGUUGGGGGCAUCCGAAUUUAGCCGUCAGAGGUGAAAUUCUUGGAUCUGCUAAAGACGGACAACUGCGAAAGCGUUUGCCCAGGAUGUUUUCAUUGA